Molecule: ribosomal RNA, 253 nt
Filed under: uncultured bacterium
Lineage: Bacteria
Description: partial 16S ribosomal RNA
Rfam family: Bacterial small subunit ribosomal RNA
Source: RNAcentral
UACGAAGGGGGCUAGCGUUGCUCGGAAUGACUGGGCGUAAAGGGCGCGUAGGCGGCUUGCACCGUCAGAUGUGAAAUUCCUGGGCUUAACCUGGGGGCUGCAUUUGAUACGUGUGGGCUUGAGUGCGGAAGAGGGUCGUGGAAUUCCCAGCGUAGAGGUGAAAUUCGUAGAUAUUGGGAAGAACACCGGUGGCGAAGGCGGCGACCUGGUCCGUGACUGACGCUGAGGCGCGAAAGCGUGGGGAGCAAACAGG